This 710-nucleotide ribosomal RNA is filed under the name uncultured soil bacterium. Its description in RNAcentral is "bacterial SSU rRNA". It matches the Rfam family "Bacterial small subunit ribosomal RNA", at positions 40 to 744 of the family's 1533-position model. The record is from RNAcentral.
CGGCAGGCUUAAUACAUGCAAGUCGAGGGGCAACAGGGUGUAGCAAUACACUGCUGGCAACCGGCAAACGGGUGCGGAACACGUACACAACCUGCGGUUUAAAGGGGGAUAGUCUAGAGAAAUUUGGAAUAAUACCCCAUAAGAUAGUUGAGCGGCAUCGCUUAAUUAUUAAACUCCGGCGUUAGACCCUGGGUGUGCGUCUGAUUAGGUAGUUGGAGAGGUAACGGCUCACCAAGCCAACGAUCAGUAGCUGAUGUGAGAGCAUGAUCAGCCACACGGGCACUGAGACACGGGCCCGACUCCUACGGGAGGCAGCAGUAAGGAAUAUUGGACAAUGGACGCAAGUCUGAUCCAGCCAUGCCGCGUGAAGGAUGAAGGUCCUCUGGAUUGUAAACUUCUUUUAUGGGGGGCGAAAACGGAGAAUUCUUUCUCCACUGACGGUACCCCAUGAAUAAGCACCGGCUAACUCCGUGCCAGCAGCCGCGGUAAUACAGAGGUGGCAAGCGUUGUUCGGAAUUACUGGGCGUAAAGGGCGCGUAGGCGGUCUCGUAAGUCCCGUGUGAAAUCCCUCGGCUCAACUGAGGAACUGCACGGGAAACUGCUUGGCUCGAGUUCGGGAGAGGGAAGCGGAAUUCCGGGUGUAGCGGUGAAAUGCGUAGAUAUCCGGAGGAACACCGGUGGCGAAGGCGGCUUCCUGGACCGACACUGAC